GUGCCAGCCGCCGCGGUAAUACGGAGGAUGCAAGCGUUAUCCGGAUUUAUUGGGUUUAAAGGGUGCGUAGGCUGUCUGUCAAGUCAGGGGUGAAAUACCGGGGCCCAACUCCGGAACUGCCUUUGAUACUGUCAGGCUGGAAUACUGCCGCCGUGGGAGGAAUGAGUAGUGUAGCGGUGAAAUGCAUAGAUAUUACUCAGAACACCGAUUGCGAAGGCAUCUCACGAAACAGUUAUUGACGCUGAGGCACGAAAGCGUGGGGAUCAAACAGGAUUAGAUACCCUGGUAGUCCACGCAGUAAACGAUGAUAACUAACCGUUGGCGAUACACAGCCAGUGGCCAAGCGAAAGCGAUAAGUUAUCCACCUGGGGAGUACGACCGCAAGGUUGAAACUCAAAGGAAUUGACGGGGGCCCGCACAAGCGGAGGAACAUGUGGUUUAAUUCGAUGAUACGCGAGGAACCUUACCCGGGCUCGAACGGCAAGUGAAGGAUUGAGAGAUCAUGACGCCCUUCGGGGCACUUGUCGAGGUGCUGCAUGGUUGUCGUCAGCUCGUGUCGUGAGAUGUUGGCUUAAGUGCCAUAACGAGCGCAACCCUUGCCACUAGUUACCAGCACGUCAAGGUGGGGACUCUAGUGGGACUGCCACCGCAAGGUGAGAGGAAGGCGGGGAUGACGUCAAAUCAGCACGGCCCUUACGUCCGGGGCGACACACGUGUUACAAUGGUGGGUACAGAGGGGAGCUACCUGGCGACAGGAUGCAAAUCUCGAAAACCCAUCUCAGUUCGGAUCGGAGUCUGCAACCCGACUCCGUGAAGCUGGAUUCGCUAGUAAUCGCGCAUCAGCCAUGGCGCGGUGAAUACGUUCCCGGGCCUUGUACACACCGCCCGU
RNAcentral lists this ribosomal RNA (889 nucleotides) under uncultured bacterium. Its description in RNAcentral is "bacterial SSU rRNA". It matches the Rfam family "Bacterial small subunit ribosomal RNA", at positions 505 to 1397 of the family's 1533-position model. The record is from RNAcentral.